Molecule: long non-coding RNA, 3140 nt
Organism: Equus caballus (horse)
Lineage: Eukaryota; Metazoa; Chordata; Mammalia; Perissodactyla; Equidae
Source: Ensembl
CUCAGCCUUGAGUUUCUCCUUGAGCUUCUGAAACUCAGUGCUCAGGAACAUGUGUUUCUUCCAGGAGAGAGGUGGGGAUGGCAGGCCAGGCUAGUUGGCCCCUUUUCCAGUCCCUGACCUGUCUAAGAGGGUAUCUCCAGGCAGGGUAGACGGUGCUGGGCUGGGGGAAAGUGGUUUGAGUGGACACCAAGAGCCUUUCAGGGUGUGUGUGUGUGCGUGUGUGUGUGUGUUUCCACAAAGAAGCAGCCAUCUGUGAAGGAGUGGGACCCCAUUUCUCAGUUCCUGUGAAAGACCUGUGUGAAACCCCAGCAAACUCCCAGGCCGAGCAGAAAGUGAGAGUGGAGGUCGACUGAGACCCACCCAUUGAGGGUAUCUUCCAGAUAUCAAGUUGACCUUCCAUCACUGAAGAUGGUGCACGGCAGCCAGCAGGCACGAUUAACAAGCCUGGCAUACUGGACCACCAGGACAGAAAGGGGCAUCCCUGGGAUGCCUCUCUAGGAGCCAGCAAGGUGCGGGGAAGACAGUAAAAUUCACUGAAUUGGAGGAGCCGAGGCCAUUUCUCUGGAGAGGAGUAGGCAGGCGGUAGAUGGGGGCUAUCUAUUAUCAGGCUCAGGUACGUGUAUCCUUGUUCAGGAAACGUGAUGCAUGGGCUUCUGGAUUUACAGUGAGAGAGAGGUAGGUCUCUAAAUCACUUUACAGACCCUGAAGCCAUGACUGGAGGCUGCUCAGGCUGGAAUACAUUACAGGGUGGAAGCAUCUCCUGGGAUGCAUGCAAAUUGUGGCACCACGGCCACUCCAGGGGCACAGAAAUACUCAAGGGGAAGAAGGAGGAAGGAAGCUGUGCGACAGGAUUGUGAGUGUGAAGGGAGAGCCCACACAAGGGGGAAACAGGCAGCCUGUGGUGAGCAUAGCACUCCCAUGGGAGGCUCAGGUUCUUGCCCUGCCCUGGCACAUCUUAGCUAUGGAAAUUUGGCCAAGGCCCCCUACAAUGUAGGAGAAAGGGUUUUGCAGCCAGAUAGGGCUGGGUUUGAGUCUUGGCUUUACCAAUUCUUAGCUGGAUAACCUUGGCAAUUUAUCCUCAUGCCCAAGCCUCAGCUUCAUUAUCUAGAACAUGGGAAUAAUAAUCUCUGUGGAUGUCACUAUUUGUUGUCCAUCCAAAAGUGAAUGUCUCCUUUCUCCUCAGAUUUCGUUUAGAUGGAACAUGCUCAGGGAAAGAGGGCCCUCCCACAACUUCAGUGGAUAAACUAGGAUUGGUCUAAUCCAAGCAAGGUCAUGCCAUUUUCUUUUUGUUAUUGAUUGGUUUUGGGGUGGGCAUGUGACCCAGUUUUAACCAGUACGAUACAAAGGGAAGACAACUGGGGGACUUCUGGGAAGGAUUUUUCUUCCUCUUAUGCCAAGAAGUCCUUUCCAUCCUCCUGCCACGAAGGAGGUUGGGUAAGGAUGUGAUGCUUGGAGCUGUGGCAGCCAUCCUGCAACCAUAAGGUGAUAAGCCUAAGAAAGAGAAGCUAGCACACCAAGGAUGGUGGAGCAGAAAGAUAAAACGAGACUGGGUCCUUGAUGACUUUGCUGAGCUGUUGCAUCAACCCUGGGAUUCCCUGUCCCCCCAGCCUUCUUAUCUGAGAUAGUGAAGAAUCUUCAUUCCCGGAGACAUUAGCAGCUACACUGUUACCUGCAGCUGAAACACUCCUUUCUGUAACGCAGCAAGCUCACGGGGUGUUGUGAGGAUGAAAUAAGAUAAUAAUGUUGGGGAAAAUUCCAAGCCUGGGACUUGGCUCAGAGUAGGUGUUCAAUACAUGCUGGUUUCCUCCCUCUUCUCUAUUUUCAUGUCUUAAUUUUAGAUUUUUUCCUGCUCUACCAACCUCAAAGGAUUGUGGUAAGAAACAAAUGAGAUAAUUGUUAUUUAUUGCCACAAUAAUGCUGUCCUAAAGAAUAACCACAGAACCUCAGUGGCAUAUCACAAUAAACAUUUCUCUAGCUCACGAAUUUGUGACUUUCUGAUGCAGGUGGGCUCCCUCACGGGGCUGGUGGUCGGCUGGCUGUCAGCUGAGAGUGAUUAAGAACUGCCUUUCAGAAAAUCUGCAAAAUCACACAGCCAGGGCACGUGCAAAAGAAGAUAUUGUACCUGAAACGACCUUGGAACUAAAGAUCCUCCUCCCCACGGAACCCAAGGACGGAGACGUGACCGGAACCUGAAGGUCGGACUCAGCAGAAGCAAGGGGUUCCUCAUUCUGAAGAUCCUUCCCCACCCUGUCAUAAAUGUUGAAAACUUCGCCAUAAAUGCUUGAAGCCCACCACCCAAAACCCGUUCCAUCUGCGUUUCCAUGUGCCAGCCCUAAGCUCUUAAAUUUUGCCCCAAAUCCUGAAUGGAGAAGACAGAUCUCAGGGCACACACCCCCUUUCUCCUUGCAGAUGGAUCUUGCAGAAUAAAAGCCGAUUUCUCCUGCAAAGGCUGAUGCCUUAUUUAUUGGCUUAUUUAUGCACAACGGGCAGAGAACCCCAAUUUUGUGCAGUAACAGGGUUGGGGAGUUUGAGGGGUUGACAGCUAAUUAGAACAUAAUUCUAAUGUUCUAGAAUUGAUUGUGGCGAUGGGUACACAACUUUGUAAAUAUACUGAAAGCCAUUGACAUAUGCAGCUUAAAUGGGUGAAUUGUAUGGUAUGUAAACUCUAUCUCAACAGAACUGUUAAAAAGGAAAAAGAAAAAAAGGCAGGAUGAUCCUGGAUCAAGGAGAGGAGAGGUGAAGCACUGGGUGGUGGUGACAUCCCCCAUUUCCCACAAAGCCGCCAGGACACCACCAGGCAAGGCCAUUAAAAAACCAACGUGUUGAAGAUUUUCUCUGCUGUCCUUGGAAAUAAUCUCUGAUUUAUAAUGAUUCUGUGGGGAAAACAAGAUUCUGUUUAUAGCAAUUCGCCAGGUGGAGAGCAGGCCCCCGCGUCCUGGAGAGGCGCCGGGAGCUCAGCCCUGCGGGGAGGUGCGGGCUUCUGACAGGCACCGUGGGGACCCCGCCCCAGCCCGCGGAGGGGAGGAACAAGGCUUCCUCCGCCCUCUUGGGAACCCUGGCUGGAUCUGAAAAUUAAACUGACAAAGACAGAUUAAUAGGAGAAAAGCCCAUAAAUGUAGUUGACAUAAUUUUUAUCUGAC